AGGUUACUGCUAUCGGUGUUCGCCUAAGCCAUGCGAGUCAUAUGUUCUUCGUGAACAUGGCGUACUGCUCAGUAACACGUGGAUAACCUGCCCUUGGGUCCGGCAUAACCCCGGGAAACUGGGGAUAAUUCCGGAUAACGCACAUAUGCUGGAAUGCUUUAUGCGUCAAAUGGAUUCGUCCGCCCAAGGAUGGGUCUGCGGCCUAUCAGGUAGUAGUGGGUGUAAUGUACCUACUAGCCUACGACGGGUACGGGUUGUGAGAGCAAGAGCCCGGAGAUGGAUUCUGAGACAUGAAUCCAGGCCCUACGGGGCGCAGCAGGCGCGAAAACUUUACAAUGCGGGAAACCGUGAUAAGGGGACACCGAGUGCCAGCAUCAUAUGCUGGCUGUCCGGGUGUGUAAAAUACACCUGUUAGCAAGGGCCGGGCAAGACCGGUGCCAGCCGCCGCGGUAACACCGGCGGCCCGAGUGGUGAUCGUGAUUAUUGGGUCUAAAGGGUCCGUAGCCGGUUUGGUCAGUCCUCCGGGAAAUCUGACGGUUUAACCGUUAGGCUUUCGGGGGAUACUGCCAGACUUGGAACCGGGAAAGGUAAGAGGUACUACAGGGGUAGGAGUGAAAUCUUGUAAUCCCUGUGGGACCACCUGUGGCGAAGGCGUCUUACCAGAACGGGUUCGACGGUGAGGGACGAAAGCUGGGGGCACGAACCGGAUUAGAUACCCGGGUAGUCCCAGCCGUAAACGAUGCUCGCUAGGUGUCAGGCAUGGCGCGACCGUGUCUGGUGCCGCAGGGAAGCCGUGAAGCGAGCCACCUGGGAAGUACGGCCGCAAGGCUGAAACUUAA
This 839-nucleotide ribosomal RNA is filed under the name uncultured archaeon. Its description in RNAcentral is "bacterial SSU rRNA". It matches the Rfam family "Archaeal small subunit ribosomal RNA", at positions 21 to 859 of the family's 1478-position model. The record is from RNAcentral.